AGAGUUUGAUCCUGGCUCAGGAUGAACGCUAGCGGCAGGCUUAAUACAUGCAAGUCGAGGGGCAGCGCAGUGUAGCAAUACAUGGGCGGCGACCGGCAAACGGGUGCGGAACACGUACGCAACCUUCCUUUAAGUGGAGCAUAGCCCAGGGAAACUUGGAUUAAUACUUCGUAACAUUAUGAGAUGGCAUCAUUUUAUAAUUAUAGUUCCGACGCUUAAAGAUGGGCGUGCGCCUGAUUAGGUAGUUGGCGGGGUAACGGCCCACCAAGCCUGCGAUCAGUAACUGGUGUGAGAGCACGACCAGUCACACGGGCACUGAAACACGGGCCCGACUCCUACGGGAGGCAGCAGUAAGGAAUAUUGGUCAAUGGACGCAAGUCUGAACCAGCCAUGCCGCGUGGAGGAUGAAGGUCCUCUGGAUUGUAAACUUCUUUUAUUUGGGAAGAAACCCACGUUUUCUAAUGUGGUUGACGGUACCAGAUGAAUAAGCACCGGCUAACUCCGUGCCAGCAGCCGCGGUAAUACGGAGGGUGCAAGCGUUAUCCGGAUUCACUGGGUUUAAAGGGUGCGUAGGCGGGUUGGUAAGUCCGUGGUGAAAUCUCCAAGCUUAACUUGGAAACUGCCGUGGAUACUAUCAAUCUUGAAUGUCGUGGAGGUAAGCGGAAUAUGUCAUGUAGCGGUGAAAUGCUUAGAGAUGACAUAGAACACCAAUUGCGUAGGCAGCUUAU
RNAcentral lists this ribosomal RNA (728 nucleotides) under uncultured bacterium. RNAcentral's name for it is "bacterial SSU rRNA". It matches the Rfam family "Bacterial small subunit ribosomal RNA", at positions 8 to 729 of the family's 1533-position model. The record is from RNAcentral.